This is a long non-coding RNA of Hyaena hyaena (striped hyena), 520 nucleotides long. RefSeq lists it as uncharacterized. NCBI's taxonomy places the organism in Eukaryota, Metazoa, Chordata, Mammalia, Carnivora, Hyaenidae. The record is from RefSeq and is a predicted model, not a curated record. The transcript has 3 exons.
GCACAUUUCUCUCUUUCAAUGCCUUCGCUUUCGAUCAAAAGGCUGGAUCCCUCAACUGAGGUAGAAGCUACUUCUGACCAAGAAUGGCACCCGCAGAAAUUAUCAUCUCCACUACUCUCCACAGUAUUUGGCUGUGUCCCGGUGGUAAAUGUGGAGAUCUUCUGGCUGUCAUCAGAGAUGCCAAACGCAAACUGCUCUUUGGCAGUUUGUGUGAAGAGGUGUGAACCCACUUUCUCACAGGGCAUCCUGGGCUAGAGGGGUAUCUCUUCCAGAUGUACUUCAGUGAAACCAGAUUCAGAGCUUGAGCAGAUACACUACUGCAGGCAUGGACCUAACUCGAACCGGCAACAGCACACAAGUACCAACGGGGCCACAGAGCCUCUGCCAGCACCUCUGCACUGCUCACUGCUCGACGGGCCUUCCUUGACAUCUGGAAAUGCUUUCUUUUGACUAGGAAUUGCCUGGGAUAUAAAUUUCCAUUCUUUACUUUUGUCAUUUCUGUGUCUCACAUUUUAAUAUA